This is a long non-coding RNA of Crotalus tigris (Tiger rattlesnake), 824 nucleotides long. RefSeq lists it as uncharacterized. Lineage: Eukaryota; Metazoa; Chordata; Lepidosauria; Squamata; Viperidae. The record is from RefSeq and is a predicted model, not a curated record. The transcript has 5 exons.
CUGAUUAGCACUUGAGAAAACAGCAACAACUGUCUUUGCUAACGUAGCUUCAAGGUCUUGAACUAGCAUAAAUGCGGAGAGAAAGCCCUCCGGAGCACUCGGGAUCCCAGAGAGCUCACCAGGUUUUGCAGCAAUUGAACCAGCAACUGCUUAGCCUGCCUUCCGUCGUCCGGAGGAGCCGGAUUGCGUUAAUUUCUGCUCGUCGUUCCUUUUUCCUAUGCAUAUACUUCUUUGAUAGUUCGAAUUUAAAGAGGCAUAAGGCAUGGGAAAAUGGGGCGAUGGAGUGUGGCAUCGCCCUGGCGAGAGGCCGCCUUCAGCUGCAUUCCCAAGUGAGAUUGAAAACCUUUCAAGGAAGCAAGCCGCGAGAUUGAUCCCAGCUCUACCGAUCGGGUCUCCAGUUUUUGUCAAUGUUGGCGACAGACUGCAGUUCUGGAGAAAAUGAUCCUAGAAAAUGGGUUCUCACGGAUCUAUAUAUUUGCAUUGUUAAGAUGGUUGCCUUCUGUUACAUGUUUUUGUGAGUAAAUGUCAGGCCAUAGUUUAAACUAAAAUUCCUCUUUUUCACAGGUUCUCAUGGAUCUGUACAUUUGCAUUGUUAAGAUGGUUGCCUUCUGUUAAAUGUUGCUUUGUGAAUAAAUUUCAAUCAUACUUGACUUCCAAUUAAACGUGCAUAGGAUUUCUGUGUAAUAAAGUAAGUGAAGUAUGCAUGUUUAUUGUAUCUGAACAAAUGAUAUAAUUAUGCCUGUAUGUCACUUUGUGAAAAACAAGCUUCAUUUGAUUUAUACCUGUUGCUUUUGAUUUAGUAAUAAAAUUAUAUAUAUAUUUGA